Molecule: long non-coding RNA, 689 nt
Organism: Podarcis muralis (Common wall lizard)
Lineage: Eukaryota; Metazoa; Chordata; Lepidosauria; Squamata; Lacertidae
Source: RefSeq, a predicted model, not a curated record
GUAAACACUUUGGCCCGCCGCCAUCCUUAUAAAGCCAAUUAUGGACCGAGCGGGGCGAGAGUGGGGAGGGGAAGUUUCAAGGCUCCCCGGCGGGGAGGGCUGAAUGGGCGAAGCGGGCGGUGGGAAUUCAGAGAGGCGGUUUCAAGGUGUCCCCCCAACCCCGUUUUUUUUUUCCUCCGCCUCUGGUCUGCUCUGGCUGAUCAUAAACAGAAAAUCGGGGCGGGGGGGGUGGCUGCCAUCUUCAGCCCUCCCCCCCAACCCCGAGGGAGGGGUUGCAAGCCGGCCACCGCCUCGCCCACCCCACAUGUCUUUGGGGGAGGGGGGAGGAGACUGGUGGCCCCCGGAGCGUUUUUGGUGGCCCAGGCGGGUUGCAGCGCCUAGGAAGGAAGGAGGGAGGGGUGUCUGUUCCGCUCUGCAUGCUUACUCGGAAGUAAGCCGGCCUUAAACUCCCCGGGAGGAAAGCAAGCGCAGCAUCGGCGGCCCGAGCCUAGGCAUGUUUACUCAGGUGUAAGCUUCCGCCAUGUAACCCCCCAAACCCUCCUCCGCAGCGGAUUAAACUCGCCCACCCCGCAAAGCUACCCGAAGGAAAGAGAUCUGGAAGCUGCAUUUGCUUGGACCGGAUAUUUAUUUUGCUUGUGUGAAUUAAGAGUGUAUUUGCAAUACUAAUAAAACAUUAAACAAAACAAAAA